This is a long non-coding RNA of Rhipicephalus microplus (southern cattle tick), 1166 nucleotides long. The record is from RefSeq and is a predicted model, not a curated record. Lineage: Eukaryota; Metazoa; Arthropoda; Arachnida; Ixodida; Ixodidae.
ACACAAUCACUGGUAUAGCACAGGUCACCGCGGCCAAAGUAGAUGCCAGCACCUGGAAGCUUGUGUAUUGUUCUGUUAAUAAUAGGCUUGUGCUUGACUAGUGAGAGCUCAGGUGUUAUGCUGUAGAUCCCUCUUGAUCACCCUCUGUGUUUUUGUCGCUGUUUUUGGCAGUCUUUCACUCUUGUCUAUCUGCACGUCCAUUCAUCUGUAGGUAUGUCUUUUACUGUUCUUCAAUCCACUUCUCUAUAUGUAUGUCUGCCCGUUCAUCUGUGCACAUGUCUCUCCGUUCACACGUCGUUACACCAUCUUUGUAUAUGUGACGCUUCAUUCAUACGUCUGUCUGUAUUUCUGUUCGCAUGUCUGCUUUCUGCCUUUCUCUGCAUCUGGUAUUUGUUCUGUUUAUAUUGUCCGUCUAAUGUCCCAGCCUGUCUUUCUGUCGGUCCAUCUGUACAGCUUUCUGUCUCCUGUACAUAGAUCUCACUAUCUGUGGUUCUUGGCGUCUCUAGGUUACUGAGUCAAUUCAUCACGACGUUUUUUUUCUUUGUGUUCAUCUUUCUGUCUUUCAGUCUGUCUGUCUGCCAGUUUCAGUCUACUUGUUAGUCCAUUAAGAAAAUUUUUUGUCAGUGUGUCCACAUUGCUCUUCUUUCCUGUCAAUGUGUCAUUGAGUGCCGGACAAAAAAAAAGCACUUAGAAUAGGCCAUUUUUACUAUUCCCUGCCUUGGUCUCACAUUCGGUCGUACAUUUGCAAAUUAGACGACCUAUGAUUGUCGGAUUAUUGCCCAACAAGACAACUGAACAACACAGCUGCACUGAUCUUUUUCAAGCGCAUCAAGAUGCCUAUGAACCGUAGCACAGAAAGGAAAUUGCGUUUGAACACCGGGUGCACAGACGAAGACACAUUUGUAAGGCAGCCAGGCCAGUUUAGCUGUCGCGUGCUGGAAGACGGUACUUUCGCACCCAAAGAGGCUCUCCCAUGUGCAACGACAAGUUCACUGACUGCCGUUACAAAAUUCUUGAUGGCUCUAAGACUAGAUUCACCUUUGUGCCCUCUAGUUCAAACGAAGGCAGCAAAUAAUUGGUGCAAGUGACAUUUUGGAUGGACUUCUUGAUACCAGACUAUCUAACAGCCAGCAUCUAACACAAUAAAGAAAAUGUUAGCCAUUUAA